Molecule: ribosomal RNA, 369 nt
Filed under: uncultured bacterium
Lineage: Bacteria
Description: bacterial SSU rRNA
Rfam family: Bacterial small subunit ribosomal RNA
Source: RNAcentral
UAGGGAAUAUUGCAAAAUGGGCGAAAGCCCGAUGCAGCAACGCCGCGUGGGCGAUGAAGGCCUUCGGGUCGUAAAGCCCUUUUUGAGGGGAUGAGGAAGGACAGUACCCUCAGAAUAAGCCUCGGCUAACUACGUGCCAGCAGCCGCGGUAAAACGUAGGAGGCGAGCGUUAUCCGGAUUUACUGGGCGUAAAGCGCGUGCAGGCGGAUUGGAGAGUUGGAUGUGAAAGCUCCCGGCUUAACUGGGAGAGGUCUUUCAAUACUUCCAGUCUUGAGUGCAGUAGAGGGAAGUGUAAUUCCGGGUGUAGUGGUGAAAUGCGUAGAUAUCCGGAGGUACACCGGUGACGAAAGCGGCUUCCUGGACUGUAAC